GUUUGAUUUAAGGAAUGACUAUAAUAAUUUUUCUGUCACUGAAGAAAUAACGUUAAAAUGUGGUGCACUCUGAGUAACCCACGUAACCACCUUGCCUAUAUACUUAUUGUAGAAGUAUUGCACAGUAACACAAUGAAAGAAACGUCUUUGUUGAAAAUGUGUCUCAUUACGAUAGACUUAUGUGGCGAUUAAUAUCGUGAUGUUUUGAUGUUUUUUAUUGUUCAUUCCAGUGCAAACAUGC
RNAcentral lists this long non-coding RNA (241 nucleotides) under Mytilus galloprovincialis (Mediterranean mussel). Lineage: Eukaryota; Metazoa; Mollusca; Bivalvia; Mytilida; Mytilidae. The record is from RNAcentral.